Molecule: ribosomal RNA, 497 nt
Filed under: uncultured bacterium
Lineage: Bacteria
Description: partial 16S ribosomal RNA
Rfam family: Bacterial small subunit ribosomal RNA
Source: RNAcentral
GAUGAACGCUGGCGGCGUGCCUAAUACAUGCGAGUCGAGCGAACAGAUGAGGAGCUUGCUCCUCUGACGUUAGCGGCGGACGGGUGAGUAACACGUGGAUAACCUACCUAUAAGACUGGGAUAACUUCGGGAAACCGGAGCUAAUACCGGAUAAUAUAUUGAACCGCAUGGUUCAAUAGUGAAAGACGGUUUUGCUGUCACUUAUAGAUGGAUCCGCGUCGCAUUAGCUAGUUGGUAAGGUAACGGCUUACCAAGGCAACGAUGCGUAGCCGACCUGAGAGGGUGAUCGGCCACACUGGAACUGAGACACGGUCCAGACUCCUACGGGAGGCAGCAGUAGGGAAUCUUCCGCAAUGGGCGAAAGCCUGACGGAGCAACGCCGCGUGAGUGAUGAAGGUCUUCGGAUCGUAAAACUCUGUUAUUAGGGAAGAACAAAUGUGUAAGUAACUAUGCACGUCUUGACGGUACCUAAUCAGAAAGCCACGGCUAACUACGUG